RNAcentral lists this ribosomal RNA (490 nucleotides) under uncultured bacterium. RNAcentral's name for it is "partial 16S ribosomal RNA". It matches the Rfam family "Bacterial small subunit ribosomal RNA", at positions 30 to 507 of the family's 1533-position model. The record is from RNAcentral.
AUUGAACGCUGGCGGCAGGCCUAACACAUGCAAGUCGAACGGUAACAGGAAGCAGCUUGCUGCUUUGCUGACGAGUGGCGGACGGGUGAGUAAUGUCUGCGAAACUGCCUGAUGGAGGGGGAUAACUACUGGAAACGGUAGCUAAUACCGCAUAACGUCGCAAGACCAAAGAGGGGGACCUUCGGGCCUCUUGCCAUCGGAUGUGCCCAGAUGGGAUUAGCUAGUAGGUGGGGUAACGGCUCACCUAGGCGACGAUCCCUAGCUGGUCUGAGAGGAUGACCAGCCACACUGGAACUGAGACACGGUCCAGACUCCUACGGGAGGCAGCAGUGGGGAAUAUUGCACAAUGGGCGCAAGCCUGAUGCAGCCAUGCCGCGUGUAUGAAGAAGGCCUUCGGGUUGUAAAGUACUUUCAGCGGGGAGGAAGGGAGUAAAGUUAAUACCUUUGCUCAUUGACGUUACCCGCAGAAGAAGCACCGGCUAACUCCGUG